This 253-nucleotide ribosomal RNA is filed under the name uncultured bacterium. RNAcentral's name for it is "partial 16S ribosomal RNA". It matches the Rfam family "Bacterial small subunit ribosomal RNA", at positions 524 to 776 of the family's 1533-position model. The record is from RNAcentral.
UACGUAGGGGGCAAGCGUUAUCCGGAAUUACUGGGUGUAAAGGGAGCGUAGACGGUAAUGUAAGCCUGGAGUGAAAGGCGGGGGCCCAACCCCCGGACUGCUCUGGAAACUAUGUUACUAGAGUGCAGGAGAGGUAAGCGGAAUUCCUAGUGUAGCGGUGAAAUGCGUAGAUAUUAGGAGGAACACCAGUGGCGAAGGCGGCUUACUGGACUGUAACUGACGUUGAGGCUCGAAAGCGUGGGGAGCAAACAGG